This 492-nucleotide ribosomal RNA is filed under the name uncultured bacterium. RNAcentral describes it as "partial 16S ribosomal RNA". It matches the Rfam family "Bacterial small subunit ribosomal RNA", at positions 29 to 507 of the family's 1533-position model. The record is from RNAcentral.
AGUGAACGCUGGCGGUAGGCCUAACACAUGCAAGUCGAACGGCAGCACAGUAAGAGCUUGCUCUUACGGGUUGCGAGUGGCGGACGGGUGAGGCAUACAUCGGAAUCUACUUUUUCGUGGGGGAUAACGUAGGGAAACUUACGCUAAUACCGCAUACGACCGACGGGUGAAAGCAGGUGAUCUUCGGACCUUGCGCGAUUGAAUGAGCCGAUGUCGGAUUAGCUAGGUGGCGGGGUAAAGGCCCACCAAGGCGACGAUCCGUAGCUGGUCUGAGAGAAUGAUCAGCCACAAUGGAACUGAGACACGUUCCAGACUCCUAAGGGAGGCAGCAGUGGGGAAUAUUGGACAAUGGGCGAAAGCCUGAUCCAGCCAUACCGCGUGGGUGAAGAAGGCAUUCGGGUUGUAAAGCCUUUUUGUUGGGAAAGAAAAGCAGCAGGUUAAUACCCCGCUGUUCUGACGGUACCCAAAGAAUAAGCACCGGCUACCUUCGUG